This is a long non-coding RNA of Catharus ustulatus (Swainson's thrush), 939 nucleotides long. RefSeq lists it as uncharacterized. The record is from RefSeq and is a predicted model, not a curated record. The transcript has 3 exons. NCBI's taxonomy places the organism in Eukaryota, Metazoa, Chordata, Aves, Passeriformes, Turdidae.
CCGUGCCUGGUGCCUGUCAGCUGGGAGCCACAUCCCCGGCAGCACGGCUGCUUUGUUUGCACAGCACCGAGGGGAGGGCUGGCGUUCCCAGGUACUCAUCCCAGCACAGCACCGAGGGGAGGGCUGGCAUCCCCAGGUACUCAUCCCAGCACAGCACGGAGGGGAGGGCUGGCAUCCCCAGGUACUCAGCACAGCACAGCACCGAGGGGAGGGCUGGCAUUCCCAGGUACUCAUCCCAGCACAGCACCGAGGGGAGGGCUGGCGUUCCCAGGUACUCAUCCCAGCACAGCACCGAGGGGAGGGCUGGUGUUCCCAGGUACUCAUCCCAGCACAGCACCGAGGGGAGGGCUGCUGUUCCCAGGUACUCAUCCCAGCACAGCACCGAGGGGAGGGCUGGCGUUCCCAGGUACUCAUCCCAGCACAGCACCGAGGGGAGGGCUGGCAUUCCCGGGUACUCAUCCCAGCACAGCACCGAGGGGAGGGCUGGCAUCCCCAGGUACUCAUCCCAGCACAGCACCGAGGGGAGGGCUGGUGUUCCCAGGUCAGCGUGAGAUGAUGCAAGAACAAGGCUGAACUUCCAGCCCAUUAGGCUCUGGAGCCAGGCGGCAGACAGGGUGAUGUGGUGUGUCUGCAUACCUCCCCCAGGCACUGGAGAAGAGUGUAUAUUGCUGUCCUGGCAUCCUGGCUCCUUUUCCAGCCUAUCAAUUGUUCCAGGGUAUUUGCUGGAAGCACUUGAGGAUAAAGACACACCUGCACCCAAGUCCCUGCACUCCUGUUUGUGCAAGACUGACUACAGCCCCAGCAAGGUCAGAGUGCUGGUGCUUCCAUUACCCACAGCUGUCACUUUAUGGUUCUGAGGUCAAAAAUGAAGCAGGAAAAAAGGUGCUAGAAAACCCAACUAAAUUAAUAAUAAUUCUGGUCUCUUUAUAAAGAAAUAGA